GACGAACGCUGGCGGCGUGCUUAACACAUGCAAGUCGAGCGGUAAGGCCCUCUCGGGGGUACACGAGCGGCGAACGGGUGAGUAACACGUGGGUGACCUGCCCUCAGCUCUGGGAUAAGCCUGGGAAACCGGGUCUAAUACUGGAUAUGACUCCAUGACGCAUGUUGUGGGGUGGAAAGCCUUGUGCGGCUGAGGAUGGGCCCGCGGCCUAUCAGCUUGUUGGUGGGGGAUGGCCUACCAAGGCGACGACGGGUAGCCGGCCUGAGAGGGCGACCGGCCACACUGGGACUGAGACACGGCCCAGACUCCUACGGGAGGCAGCAGUGGGGAAUCUUGCGCAAUGGGCGAAAGCCUGACGCAGCGACGCCGCGUGAGGGAUGACGGCCUGG
RNAcentral lists this ribosomal RNA (389 nucleotides) under uncultured bacterium. RNAcentral's name for it is "bacterial SSU rRNA". It matches the Rfam family "Bacterial small subunit ribosomal RNA", at positions 28 to 419 of the family's 1533-position model. The record is from RNAcentral.